Molecule: ribosomal RNA, 274 nt
Filed under: uncultured bacterium
Lineage: Bacteria
Description: partial 16S ribosomal RNA
Rfam family: Bacterial small subunit ribosomal RNA
Source: RNAcentral
AUACGGAGGGUGCAAGCGUUAUCCGGAAUCAUUGGGUUUAGAGGGUCCGCAGGCGGAUUAAUAAGUCAGUGGUGAAAUCCUCUCGCUCAACGAGAGAACUGCCAUUGAAACUGUUAGUCUUGAAUUCGGUCGAAGUAGGCGGAAUGUGUCAUGUAGCGGUGAAAUGCAUAGAUAUGACACAGAACACCGAUAGCGAAGGCAGCUUACUAGACCUGGAUUGAUGCUCAUGGACGAAAGCGUGGGGAGCGAACAGGAUUAGAAACCCCAGUAGUCC